GGCGGCUUUUUAAGUCUGGAUGUGAAAUCCCUGAGCUUAACUUAGGAAUUGCAUUCGAUACUGGAAAGCUAGAGUAUGGGAGAGGAUGGUAGAAUUCCAGGUGUAGCGGUGAAAUGCGUAGAGAUCUGGAGGAAUACCGAUGGCGAAGGCAGCCAUCUGGCCUAAUACUGACGCUGAGGUACGAAAGCAUGGGGAGCAAACAGGAUUAGAUACCCUGGUAGUCCAUGCCGUAAACGAUGUCUACUAGCCGUUGGGGCCUUUGAGGCUUUAGUGGCGCAGCUAACGCGAUAAGUAGACCGCCUGGGGAGUACGGUCGCAAGACUAAAACUCAAAUGAAUUGACGGGGGCCCGCACAAGCGGUGGAGCAUGUGGUUUAAUUCGAUGCAACGCGAAGAACCUUACCUGGCCUUGACAUACUAAGAACUUUCCAGAGAUGGAUUGGUGCCUUCGGGAACUUAGAUACAGGUGCUGCAUGGCUGUCGUCAGCUCGUGUCGUGAGAUGUUGGGUUAAGUCCCGCAACGAGCGCAACCCUUUUCCUUAUUUGCCAGCGGGUUAAGCCGGGAACUUUAAGGAUACUGCCAGUGACAAACUGGAGGAAGGCGGGGACGACGUCAAGUCAUCAUGGCCCUUACGGCCAGGGCUACACACGUGCUACAAUGGUCGGUACAAAGGGUUGCUACCUCUGCGAGAGGAUGCUAAUCUCAAAAAGCCGAUCGUAGUCCGGAUCGCAGUCUGCAACUCGACUGCGUGAAGUCGGAA
This 760-nucleotide ribosomal RNA is filed under the name uncultured bacterium. RNAcentral describes it as "bacterial SSU rRNA". It matches the Rfam family "Bacterial small subunit ribosomal RNA", at positions 574 to 1331 of the family's 1533-position model. The record is from RNAcentral.